RNAcentral lists this ribosomal RNA (493 nucleotides) under uncultured bacterium. RNAcentral describes it as "partial 16S ribosomal RNA". It matches the Rfam family "Bacterial small subunit ribosomal RNA", at positions 30 to 523 of the family's 1533-position model. The record is from RNAcentral.
AUUGAACGCUGGCGGCAUGCCUUACACAUGCAAGUCGAACGGUAACAGGUUAAGCUGACGAGUGGCGAACGGGUGUGUAAUAUAUCGGAACGUGCCCAGUCGUGGGGGAUAACGUAGCGAAAGCUACGCUAAUACCGCAUACGAUCUACGGAUGAAAACGGGGGAUCGCAAGACCUCGCGCGAUUGGAGCGGCCGAUAUCAGAUUAGGUUGUUGGUGAGGUAAAAGCUCACCAAGCCUGCGAUCUGUAGCUGGUCUGAGAGGACGACCAGCCACACUGGAACUGAGACACGGUCCAGACUCCUACGGGAGGCAGCAGUGGGGAAUUUUGGACAAUGGACGCAAGUCUGAUCCAGCAAUGCCGCGUGCAGGACGAAGGCCUUCGGGUUGUAAACUGCUUUUGUACGGAACGAAACGGUGAGCUCUAAUACAGUUUGCUAAUGACGGUACCGUAAGAAUAAGCACCGGCUAACUACGUGCCAGCCGCCGCCGUAG